UACUUAUUAAAUAACGUAGAAAUAAAUAAAAUACAGAAUAAAUAAUCAAAUAAUUAUUCAUGUAAUCAUUGUUGUAAGAAAAAGUAAUUAUUGAAAUAAUGAAAAAUAAUGCUUCAAAAAAAUCAAUUUUCUUUUUUUGUGAAUAAUUACUUUUUGUCAUAAUAAUAAUUACUUUGGAAUAAUGUAAAAAUAAAAAAUACAAAACAAAACAAAAUAAAAAAUUAGACAAAAAGUAAUUAUUAUUAUGCAAAAAAAUUAAAAUUGAGAAAUAGGAAAAAUGAAAAAGAUAAAAAGCUAGGAAAAAAAAACAAAAAAAAACAAAAAAAAAAUGAGAAUCAAAGAAACAACCAAAAUAAAAACAAAAUAAUGGGGCAAGGAACCCCUUCCCUUUAGGCUAUGUUUAUCAGCAAGCAUCCAACCACCCAACCAUCCAACCAUCUUCAAUAUUUAAUUAAUUUCUUCCACAUCACUAAAUUUAUCCCAACCCAACCACCUCUAUUUUUGUUGAUUUAUCAAUGACCACCCCAACCACCCAACCACAACAUUAUAUAUAAUUAUUUUAUUAUUAUUUUUAAUCAUAAUAAUUUUAAUAAUAUUAAAUAUAAAUUAAAAUAUUAAAAAAAUUAAAAGAAAAAAAAACAAACUAAUAAAAAUUUAAAUUACAACAAACUAAAAAUAUAAAUUACAACAAUGCAAACUCGAAAUAGAAAAAAACAAUACAUACUAAGCAUUUAAUUAUCAUCGCCAAACUUUUGCCAAAUAUGCUCGAUCAAGUCAUUUUUAAGAGCAUUGUGAGCUUCCCUGUUACGAAGUUGUGUCCUGUUCCUCAUAUAGCUUUCAAGACUUGCAAUCCGUUCCGUGAAAAAUUCAAAAUUAGGACCAUCAUUAGCUUCAAC
RNAcentral lists this long non-coding RNA (896 nucleotides) under Salvia miltiorrhiza (redroot sage). Its description in RNAcentral is "long non-coding RNA (SMIL_LNC012289)". The record is from RNAcentral. Lineage: Eukaryota; Viridiplantae; Streptophyta; Magnoliopsida; Lamiales; Lamiaceae.